This 253-nucleotide ribosomal RNA is filed under the name uncultured prokaryote. RNAcentral describes it as "partial 16S ribosomal RNA". It matches the Rfam family "Bacterial small subunit ribosomal RNA", at positions 524 to 776 of the family's 1533-position model. The record is from RNAcentral.
GACGAACCGUGCGAACGUUGUUCGGAAUCACUGGGCUUAAAGGGCGCGUAGGCGGCUCGCCAAGUCAGGGGUGAAAUCUUUCGGCUCAACCGGAAAAGUGCCUCUGAUACUGGCGGGCUGGAGGGAGGUAGGGGCAUGUGGAACUUCCGGUGGAGCGGUGAAAUGCGUUGAUAUCGGAAGGAACGCCGGUGGCGAAAGCGACGUGCUGGACCUCUACUGACGCUGAGGCGCGAAGGCCAGGGGAGCAAACGGG